RNAcentral lists this ribosomal RNA (497 nucleotides) under uncultured bacterium. RNAcentral's name for it is "partial 16S ribosomal RNA". It matches the Rfam family "Bacterial small subunit ribosomal RNA", at positions 28 to 507 of the family's 1533-position model. The record is from RNAcentral.
GAUGAACGCUGGCGGCGUGCCUAAUACAUGCAAGUCGAGCGAACGGACGAGAAGCUUGCUUCUCUGAUGUUAGCGGCGGACGGGUGAGUAACACGUGGAUAACCUACCUAUAAGACUGGGAUAACUUCGGGAAACCGGAGCUAAUACCGGAUGAUAUUUUGAACCGCAUGGUUCAAAAGUGAAAGACGGUCUUGCUGUCACUUAUAGAUGGAUCCGCGCUGCAUUAGCUAGUUGGUAGGGUAACGGCUUACCAAGGCAACGAUGCAUAGCCGACCUGAGAGGGUGGUCGGCCACACUGGAACUGAGACACGGUCCAGACUCCUACGGGAGGCAGCAGUAGGGAAUCUUCCGCAAUGGGCGAAAGCCUGACGGAGCAACGCCGCGUGAGUGAUGAAGGUCUUCGGAUCGUAAAACUCUGUUAUUAGGGAAGAACAUAUGUGUAAGUAACUGUGCACAUCUUGACGGUACCUAAUCAGAAAGCCACGGCUAACUACGUG